RNAcentral lists this unclassified non-coding RNA (224 nucleotides) under Hevea brasiliensis (rubber tree). Lineage: Eukaryota; Viridiplantae; Streptophyta; Magnoliopsida; Malpighiales; Euphorbiaceae. The record is from RNAcentral.
GAGAGAGAGAGAGAGAGAAUAGAUUGAUGAUAAAAUUCAGAGUGUGGUUCGCAGGAGCUUGUGGAGAGGACUGUAAAUUUGUAAAAGGAUUUAAUUGUUGAACAAAAGAAAAUUCCAAAAUUUUGAAUGACGUACACAAAACGUCAUAUUUCACUGGUUUUGUACAUUAAUCCAUCGAAUUGUAAGAAAAGUUACCCUUAUCAUGAAUACAAUAUAAUAAUUCA